This 253-nucleotide ribosomal RNA is filed under the name uncultured bacterium. Its description in RNAcentral is "partial 16S ribosomal RNA". It matches the Rfam family "Bacterial small subunit ribosomal RNA", at positions 524 to 776 of the family's 1533-position model. The record is from RNAcentral.
UACAGAGGGGGCAAGCGUUGUUCGGAAUUACUGGGCGUAAAGGGCGCGUAGGCGGCCUGCUAAGUCGAACGUGAAAUCCCUGGGCUCAACCCAGGAACUGCGUCCGAUACUGGUUGGCUUGAAUCCGGGAGAGGGAUGUGGAAUUCCAGGUGUAGCGGUGAAAUGCGCAGAUAUCGGGAAGAACACCCGUGGCGAAGGCGGUUCUCUGGGACGGUACUGACGCUGAGACGCGAAAGCGUGGGGAGCGAACAGG